Polypterus senegalus (gray bichir) is the source of this 344-nucleotide long non-coding RNA. RefSeq lists it as uncharacterized. The transcript has 3 exons. NCBI's taxonomy places the organism in Eukaryota, Metazoa, Chordata, Cladistia, Polypteriformes, Polypteridae. The record is from RefSeq and is a predicted model, not a curated record.
GAAGUUGCCCAAUGAAGACAACUGACUCUGUCCUUUCUGGUCUGUGUGUUGGUGCUGAUUUUUGGGCUUCCUCUCCCAUUAUAACACUUCUGACCGACAAAGCACAUGCACAAUUUUGUGAAAAUUGGUUCAGCUGCAGGAUUAACAAACAGACAUCCAAGAAUGGAAGAUUGACAGCCAUUCCACCACUGAUGUCACUUCUGUUGCCCACCUUCUUGGAUCCGCCCAUUCCUGCCUAGCUCCCAUAUGACUGGGGUCACAAACGUAUACUACAUGAAGUGGCAUACGACCAGGGAUCUUGCCCCACCAGGAUGCCUGGAAGAAGGUUGGACCAUGAGUGAGGC